UACGGGAGGCAGCAGUGGGGAAUAUUGCACAAUGGGCGCAAGCCUGAUGCAGCCAUGCCGCGUGUAUGAAAAAGGCCUUCGGGUUGUAAAGUACUUUCAGUCGUGAGGAAGGUGUUAAGGUUAAUAACCUUAGCAAUUGACGUUAGCGACAGAAGAAGCACCGGCUAACUCCGUGCCAGCAGCCGCGGUAAUACGGAGGGUGCGAGCGUUAAUCGGAAUUACUGGGCGUAAAGGGCACGCAGGCGGUUAAUAAGUUGGAUGUGAAAUCCCCGGGCUUAACCUGGGAAUGGCAUUCAAGACUGGUUAGCUAGAGUCUUGUAGAGGGGGUAGAAUUCCAUGUGUAGCGGUGAAAUGCGUAGAGAUGUGGAGGAAUACCGGUGGCGAAGGCGGCCCCUGGACAAAGGACUGACGCUCAUGUGCGAAAGCUGGGGAGCGAAACAGGGAUUAGAUACC
This 453-nucleotide ribosomal RNA is filed under the name uncultured bacterium. Its description in RNAcentral is "bacterial SSU rRNA". It matches the Rfam family "Bacterial small subunit ribosomal RNA", at positions 340 to 786 of the family's 1533-position model. The record is from RNAcentral.